CGCCUCUUGUGCCCAUAAGAGGUCUAGCCUGCCCAGUGACUUAAUUCAACGGCCGCGGUACUCUAACCGUGCGAAGGUAGCGUAAUCACUUGUCUUCUAAAUAAAGACUAGUAUGAAAGGCAUCACGAGAGCUAAACUGUCUCCCUCUUCCAAUCAGUGAACCUAAUCCUCCCGUGAAGAAGCGGGAAUUUUUAAAUAAGACGAGAAGACCCUAUGGAGCUUAAAACACUAUUACACCUGCCCCAAACCACCACCGCAGGAUGAUUAUACGUUUUCGGUUGGGGUGACCACGGAGAAAAAACCAUCCUCCAUGAUGAAAGGACCUACUCCUAAACAACAAGCCACAACUUUACGCAUCAGUAAACUGACUCUAUUGACCCAAUAAAUUGAUUAACGAACCAAGUUACCCUAGGGAUAACAGCGCAAUCCACUUCAAGAGCCCCUAUCGACAAGUGGGCUUACGACCUCGAUGUUGGAUCAGGGUAUCCUAGUGGUGCAGCCGCUACUAAGGGUUCGUUUGUUCAACGAUUAAAACCCU
This 538-nucleotide ribosomal RNA is filed under the name Pristimantis gaigei (Fort Randolph robber frog). Its description in RNAcentral is "partial 16S ribosomal RNA". It matches the Rfam family "Bacterial large subunit ribosomal RNA", at positions 1817 to 2597 of the family's 2925-position model. Lineage: Eukaryota; Metazoa; Chordata; Amphibia; Anura; Strabomantidae. The record is from RNAcentral.